CCUACGGGAGGCAGCAGUGGGGAAUCUUGCGCAAUGGGCGAAAGCCUGACGCAGCCAUGCCGCGUGAAUGAUGAAGGUCUUAGGAUUGUAAAAUUCUUUCACCGGGGACGAUAAUGACGGUACCCGGAGAAGAAGCCCCGGCUAACUUCGUGCCAGCAGCCGCGGUAAUACGAAGGGGGCUAGCGUUGCUCGGAAUUACUGGGCGUAAAGGGAGCGUAGGCGGAUAGUUUAGUCAGAGGUGAAAGCCCAGGGCUCAACCUUGGAAUUGCCUUUGAUACUGGCUAUCUUGAGUACGGAAGAGGUAUGUGGAACUCCGAGUGUAGAGGUGAAAUUCGUAGAUAUUCGGAAGAACACCAGUGGCGAAGGCGACAUACUGGUCCGUUACUGACGCUGAGGCUCGAAAGCGUGGGGAGCAAACAGGAUUAGAUACCCUGGUAGUCCACGCUGUAAACGAUGAGUGNUAGUGUCGCAUGCAUGCAUGUCGGUGACGCGAGCUACGACAUUAAGUACACUCCGCCGUCGGGAGGUACGGUCGCGAGAAUUAAAACUUAAACUAAGUAAGUAGUAGUACGCGUAGAGAGCGACGACGACGACGACGGAGGAGAG
RNAcentral lists this ribosomal RNA (606 nucleotides) under uncultured bacterium. RNAcentral describes it as "bacterial SSU rRNA". The stretch from base 1 to 518 matches the Rfam family "Bacterial small subunit ribosomal RNA", at positions 338 to 873 of the family's 1533-position model. The record is from RNAcentral.